RNA transcript from Rhopalosiphum padi (bird cherry-oat aphid), 1546 nucleotides. RefSeq lists it as uncharacterized. NCBI's taxonomy places the organism in Eukaryota, Metazoa, Arthropoda, Insecta, Hemiptera, Aphididae. The transcript has 3 exons. The record is from RefSeq and is a predicted model, not a curated record.
UUUGGAAAAUGUGAUCGCUUGGAAUUGUGAUCCAACGAUUCCUUAUGCGUAUAGUUGGAAUAAUGACGAAAGUGUCAACCGAGGCGAUGAUAUUGGCGUCAUAGUAGAUCUUACCAUGGACAUAAUUAUCCCAUUGUGCGUAACUCAUAGGCGUGCGCAGGAUUUUGUGUCGGGUGCAGCAUACAUUUUUAACCGAUCCUAAAGAACAACAAGCUCGAGGGAAUUGUCUACCGUCAUUACGUCGGCUAGUCAGCAGAUGGAAUACAUCUUUAACAUCAAUGUGGACGACACAGACUCUGAUGACUCUAGUUCUACAGAAGUGUGGAAUGAUCCAAUUUUUCGUUUUAUUCAUUACAAUACUGAAUACUUCAAACAAAGACAAUUAAUCCAGCCAACGCCUGAAUUGUCACUAUAACACGAUAUAAUUGCAGUAUAUUAACUGGCAAGAUCAAUUACCUAUAAUAUGCACACACAGAAAGCAAAAAUUCAAUAAAUAUACUUAGAUCAAGUUUAAACAAUUUUUUUUUUUUAGUUUCACAAAAUGCCCCCUUGCAUCAAUGUAAUUAUAUAUUAAAUAUAUAUAUUUUUUGCAAUUGUACUAUUUUAUAAACAUAACAACUAUAAGAGCAUCUUCAAUAAAUAAUUUUCAUAAGUGUUCUUGAUCAUUAUACAUUUAAACAAAUUAAAAAAGGCGACCAAACGCCACCCUUUCCCCACCUCAUAUAACUAUACUGUUCCUACCUGUGCCAAUACAAACAAAUACACUUAGAUAAAAACUGUAAACAUCAUGUUUUGUCUAGUAUUGUACAUAUUACUAUAUAAUAGUAUUUAUUGUUAUCCUAGGCUAAUGAUCCAUUGUCAUUGAUCCUUAAUAUUAAGGGGAUUGGAAGCAGUGAUUUUCUGUCUUUGUCUUACACACGUGGAAUAUAGGAAAAAUAGCUAUACGCGCCUGAUAAAAAUUAAGAUACUUUAGUUGUUCGAUUUAAAAUAUGUAAAGAUGAUUGAAUUGGUAUACAAGUUUACUUUGCAUCGGUCAAAGCAUAUUUUUAAUAUAUUUAAUAAUAAAAAUUGACAAAUUUAAAAUAUUUAUUUUAAAUAAUAAAACAAUCGAAAAAGUGCUUCGACCGAUGCAAAGUAAACUUGUAUACCAAUUAAAACAUCUUUACAUAUUUUAAAUCGAAUAACUAGAAGUACCUUAAUUUUUGUCAGGCGUAUAUCUAUGUUCCACGUGUAUUAGACAAAGACAGAGUCACCGCUUCCAAUCCCCUUAAUAACAAAAUAAAAUACCCAUGUAUUGGAUAAAAUAGAUAUAAUAGAAAUCAUAAUAUUUAAGUCAAAUUAUUAUAUUAUAUAAUUGAUUACAGAUGUGUGGAUAAAAUAGUAUAAAUUAUGAUUUGACAAAUUUUUUUUUUUUUAGUCUAACUCAAAAGUAAAUAUUUGUAGUUACCUUGAAAUGUUUAUCAAAUGUUUAUAUUAGCACUAGUCCAUCUAUUUAAUACAUUAUUAUGCCAUAUUCAAAAUUUGUUGAUUAAUAUUAAUAUUAAUA